UGAUUUGGUUCGCCAUGGGAGCGCAGGGCUCAGUGCAGCAGGACGGGAAGAGCCAGGAGGAUGCGUCGGCUUCAGCCUCAGCCUCCGCGGGGGAGCUGAGCGCGGAGGUGAACGUGAUCCAGGAGGGAGGCAGCGUCCUGGAGGGCAAGUCUUUGCAGAAAAAUGGACAAAUCUCAAGCAUGACCAGUCUGAAUGGACACUCAGAGGACAACACGCUGGCAGAAGGUGCGUGUGUGUGUGUUUGUGUCUGUGUGUCUUAUCCGUCAGUGGUGUUUAUUUACAGUGUGUGGCUUUGGGUGUUCCUGUGGUCGGUGGGGUAAGUAGUUGCGAUGUUUGUUUGGGAUUGUGUCUGGGAUUUUGUACUGUUUCUUCAGCAGUGGCAGGAGGUAAGCUUGUUUGUGUGGGGUCAGUUUUCAGUGAGCCUGUGUGUGUGGGUGUGUGUCUGUGUGAGUGCAGAUUCUUUCCUGUAGAUGUCUUGCGAGAUCUACUUGAUCCUUAACUAAUCCGUUUCUCAAAACAUAGGGGACACCUACAUUGGAUUUUCACAUAGGAGCCACACACACACGCAGCUUACUCUUUCUCUAUUUCACUUCACUCUUUCUUAACUUGCGUACACACACCCAUUUUAUAAAGUUAUAGUCCUACUUGAUCUUAGUGUAAGGCUGUGCUUGAGGGCAGAUGCAAGAAGAAUUUGUGAUCAGAUCAUACCCCUGUAUGAAACAGAAAUAUCACUUUAAGUUUGUCAAAACAUUAAAGGAGUGCCAGUUUUUAUAAUAAAAUGUUUCUUUCUGAACCUCCCACCACCUUUGCACAGAGCUAGAAAUCCAUCCGUCUGUCGAAGAAGCGAAUGGACACAGAAGUAGGCCUCAUUUGUCUCACUGUUUAAAGGACUUGUCAAAACAUUGUUUUUAUGGAAUAGAAAUAUUUAAAGAGGACUGUCUGUGGUCUUGUGGAAGCUACUCAAAACGACUCAACGAACAUUUUCAGGUCAGUAAUCUGAGAUAGCCAUUAACCGGUAAUAACGGGCAAAAUUAAUUUCUGCCACUUAAAUUAAACAUUAACAUUAACCUGCUCUG
Molecule: long non-coding RNA, 1076 nt
Filed under: Sparus aurata (gilthead seabream)
Lineage: Eukaryota; Metazoa; Chordata; Actinopteri; Spariformes; Sparidae
Description: lncRNA (ENSSAUG00010011728.1)
Source: RNAcentral